GAGGAGGGAAAGCGGCGAGUAAGAUGGAAGAUGAGGAGGUCGCUGAGAGCUGGGAAGAGGCGGCAGACAGCGGGGGCUGGUGUGAGCAGAAAAUGAAUGUCUGUGGAAGAAUGUUGACAGCCAUAAUACAUUAUAUCGAUAUAAGGAAAUAGACAGACGGUUGGAAAAAAAACUGAAGAUCACACAAAAAGAGAGGAAAUCCAAAUCUCCUCCCAAAGUGCCCAUUGUGAUUCAGGACGAUAGCCUUCCCGCGGGGCCCCCUCCACAGAUCCGCAUCCUCAAGAGGCCCACCAGCAACGGUGUGGUCAGCAGCCCCAACUCCACCAGCAGGCCCACCCUUCCAGUCAAGUCCCUAGCACAGCGAGAGGCCGAGUACGCCGAGGCCCGGAAGCGGAUCCUGGGCAGCGCCAGCCCCGAGGAGGAGCAGGAGAAACCCAUCCUCGACAGGCCAACCAGGAUCUCCCAACCCGAAGACAGCAGGCAGCCCAAUAAUGUGAUCAGACAGCCUUUGGGUCCUGAUGGGUCUCAAGGCUUCAAACAGCGCAGAUA
This 549-nucleotide small RNA is filed under the name Pan troglodytes (chimpanzee). RNAcentral describes it as "processed transcript". Lineage: Eukaryota; Metazoa; Chordata; Mammalia; Primates; Hominidae. The record is from RNAcentral.